RNAcentral lists this ribosomal RNA (943 nucleotides) under Vibrio alginolyticus. Its description in RNAcentral is "bacterial SSU rRNA". It matches the Rfam family "Bacterial small subunit ribosomal RNA", at positions 46 to 969 of the family's 1533-position model. The record is from RNAcentral. Lineage: Bacteria; Pseudomonadati; Pseudomonadota; Gammaproteobacteria; Vibrionales; Vibrionaceae.
GCCUAACACAUGCAAGUCGAGCGGAAACGAGUUAUCUGAACCUUCGGGGGACGAUAACGGCGUCGAGCGGCGGACGGGUGAGUAAUGCCUAGGAAAUUGCCCUGAUGUGGGGGAUAACCAUUGGAAACGAUGGCUAAUACCGCAUGAUGCCUACGGGCCAAAGAGGGGGACCUUCGGGCCUCUCGCGUCAGGAUAUGCCUAGGUGGGAUUAGCUAGUUGGUGAGGUAAGGGCUCACCAAGGCGACGAUCCCUAGCUGGUCUGAGAGGAUGAUCAGCCACACUGGAACUGAGACACGGUCCAGACUCCUACGGGAGGCAGCAGUGGGGAAUAUUGCACAAUGGGCGCAAGCCUGAUGCAGCCAUGCCGCGUGUGUGAAGAAGGCCUUCGGGUUGUAAAGCACUUUCAGUCGUGAGGAAGGUAGUGUAGUUAAUAGCUGCAUUAUUUGACGUUAGCGACAGAAGAAGCACCGGCUAACUCCGUGCCAGCAGCCGCGGUAAUACGGAGGGUGCGAGCGUUAAUCGGAAUUACUGGGCGUAAAGCGCAUGCAGGUGGUUUGUUAAGUCAGAUGUGAAAGCCCGGGGCUCAACCUCGGAAUAGCAUUUGAAACUGGCAGACUAGAGUACUGUAGAGGGGGGUAGAAUUUCAGGUGUAGCGGUGAAAUGCGUAGAGAUCUGAAGGAAUACCGGUGGCGAAGGCGGCCCCCUGGACAGAUACUGACACUCAGAUGCGAAAGCGUGGGGAGCAAACAGGAUUAGAUACCCUGGUAGUCCACGCCGUAAACGAUGUCUACUUGGAGGUUGUGGCCUUGAGCCGUGGCUUUCGGAGCUAACGCGUUAAGUAGACCGCCUGGGGAGUACGGUCGCAAGAUUAAAACUCAAAUGAAUUGACGGGGCCCGCACAAGCGGUGGAGCAUGUGGUUUAAUUCGAUGCAACGCGAAGAAC